Molecule: long non-coding RNA, 264 nt
Filed under: Olea europaea (common olive)
Lineage: Eukaryota; Viridiplantae; Streptophyta; Magnoliopsida; Lamiales; Oleaceae
Description: long non-coding RNA (OEUR_LNC012885)
Source: RNAcentral
GGAAUGACAAUGGUGAAGUAGAAGUGGUGCAGGCAGAUCAUAGACCUUUUGUCGCAGAAGCAAACUCAGUGGAAAGGUUCAUGUACGAAGGAAAUUACGGACCUGUCAGAGUGGUCCAAGAUGGAGAAGAAACUCAAAUUGUUGCACAGAACGAAGAGCCAUUUUCGGUAGAUGCACUCACUGAAAUGUUCAGUCAAAUGAGGCCAAACAUAGUGGCCCUGGAAGAGCCAGUAAUUGGCAAAAAAGUAGUCAAGGAGCUUUAAA